AUCGCUUCUCGGCCUUUUGGCUAAGAUCAAGUGUAGUAUCUAUUUCUUUGCUGAGGCUUUCCAGUUUUUUCACUGCUUUCAAGCAUGUUUGUCAUUGUUCAUGAAAGUACUUUUUUUUAAAGCUACUUUAAGAUCUU
This 137-nucleotide small nuclear RNA is filed under the name Cervus hanglu yarkandensis (Yarkand deer). Its description in RNAcentral is "U2 spliceosomal RNA (ENSCHYG00000001024.1)". It matches the Rfam family "U2 spliceosomal RNA". Rfam says of the family: U2 is a small nuclear RNA (snRNA) component of the spliceosome (involved in pre-mRNA splicing). Complementary binding between U2 snRNA (in an area lying towards the 5' end but 3' to hairpin I) and the branchpoint sequence (BPS) of the intron results the bulging out of an unpaired adenosine, on the BPS, which initiates a nucleophilic attack at the intronic 5' splice site, thus starting the first of two transesterification reactions that mediate splicing. The record is from Rfam by way of RNAcentral. Lineage: Eukaryota; Metazoa; Chordata; Mammalia; Artiodactyla; Cervidae.